Molecule: unclassified non-coding RNA, 240 nt
Filed under: soil metagenome
Description: partial contains 5.8S ribosomal RNA, internal transcribed spacer 2, and large subunit ribosomal RNA
Source: RNAcentral
AACCUAGCACACCUGCGGUGUGUACCUGCGGAGGGAUCAUUACAGAGUUGCAAAACUCCCCAAACCAUUGUGAACCUUACCUUCAACCGUUGCUUCGGCGGGCGGGCCACAGCGCCCCCCGGGCCCCCCCAGCGGGGCGCCCGCCGGAGGAUACCCAAACUCUUGAUACUUUAUGGCCUCUCUGAGUCUUCUGUACUGAAUAAGUCAAAACUUUUAACAAUGGAUCUCAGAUCGGAAGAG